GGUUUGUUAAGUCAGAUGUGAAAGCCCGGGGCUCAACCUCGGAAUAGCAUUUGAAACUGGCAGACUAGAGUACUGUAGAGGGGGGUAGAAUUUCAGGUGUAGCGGUGAAAUGCGUAGAGAUCUGAAGGAAUACCGGUGGCGAAGGCGGCCCCCUGGACAGAUACUGACACUCAGAUGCGAAAGCGUGGGGAGCAAACAGGAUUAGAUAC
This 209-nucleotide ribosomal RNA is filed under the name Vibrio sp. RNAcentral describes it as "partial 16S ribosomal RNA". It matches the Rfam family "Bacterial small subunit ribosomal RNA", at positions 577 to 785 of the family's 1533-position model. The record is from RNAcentral. Lineage: Bacteria; Pseudomonadati; Pseudomonadota; Gammaproteobacteria; Vibrionales; Vibrionaceae.